GUCCACGCCCUAAACGUUGAAUACUCGUUGUUGGCGAUAUACUGUCAGCGACUAAGCGAAAGCAUUAAGUAUUCCACCUGGGGAGUACGACCGCAAGGUUGAAACUCAAAGGAAUUGACGGGGGCCCGCACAAGCGGAGGAGUAUGUGGUUUAAUUCGAUGAUACGCGAGGAACCUUACCUGGGCUUGAAAGUUAGUGACCGAUUCCGAAAGGAGUCUUCUCUUCGGAGCACAAAACUAGGUG
Molecule: ribosomal RNA, 243 nt
Filed under: uncultured bacterium
Lineage: Bacteria
Description: partial 16S ribosomal RNA
Rfam family: Bacterial small subunit ribosomal RNA
Source: RNAcentral